GCCGAAAUAGCUCAGUUGGUAGAGCAACUGAUUUGUAAUCAGUAGGUCGCUGGUUCGACUCCAGUUUUCGGCU
This is a non-coding RNA of Niastella sp. SCN 39-18, 73 nucleotides long. Lineage: Bacteria; Pseudomonadati; Bacteroidota; Chitinophagia; Chitinophagales; Chitinophagaceae. The record is from Rfam.